This 201-nucleotide unclassified non-coding RNA is filed under the name uncultured fungus. RNAcentral describes it as "partial contains 5.8S rRNA and ITS2". Lineage: Eukaryota; Fungi. The record is from RNAcentral.
AACGCAAAUUGCGCCGGAGGGCUCUCCUUCCGGCAUGUUUGUUUCAGUGUGUUGGUUGCUAUCAAGAAAAUAAAUGCGAUUGAGUUUCUUUCGCUAAAGAUGAAUUUGUAAACAAUGGUCAUCUCGUAUGAUUUGGUUAUGAGUAAUCAUAAAUUCUUCGAUCGGCACCUGAAAUCAAGCAAGAUCACCCGCUGAACUUAA